This 382-nucleotide ribosomal RNA is filed under the name uncultured eukaryote. Its description in RNAcentral is "partial 18S ribosomal RNA". It matches the Rfam family "Eukaryotic small subunit ribosomal RNA", at positions 592 to 976 of the family's 1831-position model. The record is from RNAcentral.
CAAUAGCGUAUAUUAAAGUUGUUGCAGUUAAAAAGCUCGUAGUUGGAUUUCUGGAUGGAGCGACCGGUCGGGCAUUAAUUUGUCUGCACUGGAGUCGGUUCCGUCCAUCCUCUUGGAAAGUGCGUGGGGCAUUAAGUUGUCUGGCGUAUGAUCCAAGUCGUUUACUGUGAAAAAAUUAGAGUGUUUAAAGCAGGCCUUCGCCUUGAAUACAUUAGCAUGGAAUAAUAAGAUAGGACUUUGGUCUAUUUUGUUGGUUUGCAGACCGAAGUAAUGAUUAAUAGGGAUAGUUGGGGGUAUUUAUAUUCCGAUGUCAGAGGUGAAAUUCUUAGAUUUUCGGAAGAUAAACCUAUGCGAAAGCAUUUACCAAGGAUGUUUUCAUUAA